RNAcentral lists this ribosomal RNA (253 nucleotides) under uncultured bacterium. Its description in RNAcentral is "partial 16S ribosomal RNA". It matches the Rfam family "Bacterial small subunit ribosomal RNA", at positions 524 to 776 of the family's 1533-position model. The record is from RNAcentral.
UACGGGGGGGGCAAGCGUUGUUCGGAAUUACUGGGCGUAAAGGGUCUGUAGGUGGCUUGCUAAGUCAGACGUGAAAUCCCUCAGCUUAACUGGGGAACUGCGUCUGAGACUGGCCGGCUUGAGUGCAGGAGAGGAACGCGGAAUUCCAGGUGUAGCGGUGAAAUGCGUAGAUAUCUGGAGGAACACCGGUGGCGAAGGCGGCGUUCUGGACUGCAACUGACACUGAGGAACGAAAGCCAGGGGAGCAAACGGG